GCUUCUGUAAUAAUAUAGCUCAGUGGGUACAGCACAAGACUCUUAAUCUCAGCGCCAUGGGUUUGAGCCUCACUUUGGGCA
Non-coding RNA from Podarcis lilfordi (Lilford's wall lizard), 81 nucleotides. The record is from the annotation of a GenBank genome assembly. NCBI's taxonomy places the organism in Eukaryota, Metazoa, Chordata, Lepidosauria, Squamata, Lacertidae.